This 110-nucleotide ribosomal RNA is filed under the name Bacteroidota bacterium. RNAcentral also lists the same sequence under 1 other name. The record is from RNAcentral. Lineage: Bacteria; Pseudomonadati; Bacteroidota.
UUUGGUGACUAUUGCAAAGGAGUCCACCUCUUCCCAUUCCGAACAGAGAAGUUAAGCCCUUUAGCGCCGAUGAUACUGCCUUUUGGUGGGAAAGUAGGUCGUUGCCGGAU